This 397-nucleotide ribosomal RNA is filed under the name uncultured soil bacterium. RNAcentral's name for it is "bacterial SSU rRNA". It matches the Rfam family "Bacterial small subunit ribosomal RNA", at positions 26 to 434 of the family's 1533-position model. The record is from RNAcentral.
AGAUUGAACGCUGGCGGCAUGCCUAACACAUGCAAGUCGAACGGGAGUAGCAAUACUCUAGUGGCGGACGGGUGAGGAAUACGUAGGAAUUUGCCCUUAAGUGGGGGAUAACCCGGGGAAACCCGGAUUAAUACCGCAUGACCUCGAAAGAGCAAAGUGGGGGAUCGCAAGACCUCACGCUUUUGGAGAAGCCUACGUCGGAUUAGCUAGUUGGUGAGGUAAUGGCUCACCAAGGCGACGAUCCGUAACUGGUCUGAGAGGAUGAUCAGUCACACCGGAACUGAGACACGGUCCGGACUCCGUACGGGAGGCAGCGAGGUGGGGAAUAGUGGACAAGUGGCGCGAGCCUGAUCAGCAAGUCGCCGUCGUGUGGUAGAAGGACGGUCCGUUAGGGUUA